GUCUUCAUCCAAAAUAGAUAUGACUAGAGAAUGCCUGUUCGGCUAAUUUAGAGUUAUCUCAAAAUAAACUGAACCAGGCACAUAUAUGUCUUAGCUUGCUAAAAGAUAAAAUUCAUUAGCAAGUUUAUCUAUCAUCUCAGUAUUUACAUGUGCAUAAUGUAGUUCAAGCAUUUCUCUGAUGAAGCACAGAUGAUGAGAGGCUAUACUGAAACAAAAUUUACUGUCCCAACUCUAAACUGGGUGGAGAAGUGUCAUUCCCAGCUAAAAGCAUGGUUCCUCUAACAUAGCAUGCGGAGAGCUGGUGUAUCAAGGAAGAGUCAUAGAGGCUGUCAGCUGUGGAUGGUCUUUCUCAUUUUACCCUCCCAACAUAUUAAAAAUAAAAAUAAUAAUAAUAAAAUAAAAAAUAAUUUAAAAGAGCAAUUUCUGAGCUUCCAAGAGUAUAUCUCAUAUGUUAAACUGUUAAUCUCAGCCACAGCCUGAACCUCAGAUUGACCACCUGAGGCAAGUGAUGAGUCAGCUGUGGCAGCACAGGUGAAGGUAAUUCAGCUGUGCCACCAGAAGCCAAGCUCCACCUCUUCCAGAUCUCAUUUAAGGGCUGACUGCACACUAAGGCUGGUUUUCUUUUUCUCUGAGGAUUGCUUCUUUGUGGAGUUUUCUGCAAACCUUCAACAGCGGCAGCCCUGGAGGAUGGUGAAUGAUAGAUACCUCGGAACCAUCAAAAUACUCCACAUUGUUACUGACAGCUCUGACAAACAGACUGCUAUCAGCUGAGUCCCAAAGGAUAGGUUAGCAGACCAACUGAUCCUCUACUGUGAACUUAUUUAUCAUCAUCAUUGUUUUCAAGAUCACGAAAUGGACAGUUCCCAAGGGUAUGUGCUCUGCUUCUGUGAGACUGAAGUUCCAGCAGUAAUGCAGUUCUAGUUGCCCUUUUAUACAAAAUUAAACAAAUUCCUUGCAAACACUCAGACCAGUCCAAUGGAGUUUUCUUGUGUUUUUGUUGUUCCCCAGAUUUAUCUUAGUCACUUUUGCACAACCUCUUGAUUUGAGAACAGUUGAAUUUCAUGAGUCUUCUUUUCAAAUUGUGGCUGCUAAUAAAUACUUAUUCGAUUGC
Molecule: non-coding RNA, 1111 nt
Organism: Coturnix japonica (Japanese quail)
Lineage: Eukaryota; Metazoa; Chordata; Aves; Galliformes; Phasianidae
Source: RefSeq, a predicted model, not a curated record